Molecule: non-coding RNA, 202 nt
Organism: Caenorhabditis elegans
Lineage: Eukaryota; Metazoa; Nematoda; Chromadorea; Rhabditida; Rhabditidae
Source: Ensembl
GAAAAAAGCUUGACGCCUUUUUUCUACAGUAGCUACCGUCUGCGACUCUCCACGUGCCGUGCUAUCGAUCUAAUUAAGGGGUUUGGUAAGCAAGCGCGCGCGGACAUCUUACAGUCGAACAUUGAAUUAGGCUGGCAAUUGACACCUGUCUCCAUCUUCCCAAGAGACAUUAAACCAGUAGAGAAUGUAAAAAUGAAGAUGA